UGGGGAAUCUUGGACAAUGGGCGAAAGCCUGAUCCAGCCAUGCCGCGUGAGUGAAGAAGGCCCUAGGGUUGUAAAGCUCUUUUGGCGGGGACGAUAAUGACGGUACCCGCAGAAUAAGCCCCGGCUAACUUCGUGCCAGCAGCCGCGGUAAUACGAAGGGGGCUAGCGUUGUUCGGAAUUACUGGGCGUAAAGCGCACGCAGGUGGUAACGCAAGUGGGGUGUGAAAGCCGCCAGCUCAACUGGCGGAGGCCAUCCGAAACUGCGUCACUUGAGGCCUGUAGAGGUAUGUGGAAUUGCCGGUGUAGUGGUGAAAUGCGUAGAGAUCGGCAGGAACACCCAGGGGGAAGCCAGCAUACUGGACAGGUCCUGACACUCAGGUGCGACAGCGUGGGGAGCGAACCGGAUUAGAUACCCGCGUAGUCC
Molecule: ribosomal RNA, 424 nt
Filed under: uncultured prokaryote
Description: bacterial SSU rRNA
Rfam family: Bacterial small subunit ribosomal RNA
Source: RNAcentral